CAGACCAUGAAGUGGUGGUUUCUCUCAGCCUAAGGCUGGGAGAUAGAAGCAUCCCAGUAUUGCUGGCAGCAUCUCAGGGAGAGCUGGGAGAAGUGAGCUUGUCUGAGAGCCAUGGGCGCGGCUUGUGAUACUUUUGACCAGUGGAAUGCUGUGCCUUCAGGGUUCUCGGGCUGCCACGCCGAUGGCGAGAGCGGCAGCCCAUCCAGCAGCAGCAGCGGCUCUCUGGCCCUGGGCAGCGCUGCUAUUCGUGGCCAGGCCGAGGUCACCCAGGACCCUGCCCCGCUCCUGAGAGGCUUCCGGAAGCCAGCCACAGGUCAAAUGAAGCGCAACAGAGGGGAAGAAAUAGAUUUUGAGACACCUGGGUCCAUUCUUGUCAACACCAACCUCCGUGCCCUGAUCAACUCUCGGACCUUCCAUGCCUUACCAUCACACUUCCAGCAGCAGCUCCUCUUCCUCCUGCCUGAAGUAGACAGACAGGUGCACAUGGGCAGCCUCCCCUUUGCCUCUCUCUGGGUGGGCUUCUGUUCUCUUAUAAGUUUAUUUAUUAGGAUUUUUUCCCCCCUUGAUCCUUCUAGGUGGGGACAGAUGGCCUGUUGCGUCUCAGCAGCAGUGCACUAAAU
RNAcentral lists this small RNA (620 nucleotides) under Pongo abelii (Sumatran orangutan). RNAcentral's name for it is "processed transcript". Lineage: Eukaryota; Metazoa; Chordata; Mammalia; Primates; Hominidae. The record is from RNAcentral.